AACGAACGCUGGCGGCAGGCCUAACACAUGCAAGUCGAGCGAGGACUUCGGUUCUAGCGGCGGACGGGUGAGUAACGCGUGGGAAUGUGCCCUUCUCUACGGAAUAGCCCUGGGAAACUGGGAGUAAUACCGUAUACGCCCUAUUGGGGAAAGAUUUAUCGGAGAAGGAUCAGCCCGCGUUGGAUUAGGUAGUUGGUGGGGUAAUGGCCUACCAAGCCGACGAUCCAUAGCUGGUUUGAGAGGAUGAUCAGCCACACUGGGACUGAGACACGGCCCAGACUCAUACGGGAGGCAGCAGUGGGGAAUCUUAGACAAUGGGGGCAACCCUGAUCUAGCCAUGCCGCGUGAGUGAUGAAGGCCUUAGGGUUGUAAAGCUCUUUCAGCUGGGAAGAUAAUGACGGUACCAGCAGAAGAAGCCCCGGCUAACUCCGUG
Molecule: ribosomal RNA, 433 nt
Filed under: uncultured bacterium
Lineage: Bacteria
Description: partial 16S ribosomal RNA
Rfam family: Bacterial small subunit ribosomal RNA
Source: RNAcentral